Molecule: long non-coding RNA, 1988 nt
Organism: Rhododendron vialii
Lineage: Eukaryota; Viridiplantae; Streptophyta; Magnoliopsida; Ericales; Ericaceae
Exons: 2
Source: RefSeq, a predicted model, not a curated record
UCACCCAAUAAUUAUUUUUUAAAUUGCGUCAUAUUCACUCUAAUUACCCCGAAAUAAGGUACAACCCAUGCCUCCUCCUACAAGAAGAUGUGGAUUGCAAAAUUUUUGCUCUUAAGGCUUUGUUUGGCUUGAUGUAAAAUAUUUUUCACACAAAAUUGCAUUUAUUCAAAUCAUUUUACACGUAAAAUGAUUGCAUGAAAUUUAUUUUGCAUUAUUUGUUUGCAUACAUUAAAAUUAAAUUUCAACAGAGAUUGGUUUUAUUAUACUGUACAAGAUUUGUGUUGUCUAAAGAAUAAGUUGUUGCCAAGGGCUUGAGGUCCACAAAUUUUACGAGACAAGGUUAUUAAGCUAGUUCAUCCUUAAGAUUUAACUGACAUAAUUUAAUGUUUUUUGGUCCGUAAGUUAAUUCCUCUUGUCUAUGUAAACCAAUUUCUUGAAAACAAAUUAUUCCAAUAUUAGACAGCUAAAUAAUAAAAAUUGGUAAAAUAUUUUUGCAAAAAAUGUAUUUUCUCAAAACAAAUGGAGCCUUAGUAGAAGAUUUGCUAAAGCGAAAAAGCAAAAAGCUAUGUUUGCAACGUUGUGGAAAGAGAGGGAAGAAAAGAGAAAAUAAUUAACAUGAAAAAAGAAAGUAAAAUUGUUUUUGUACGUAAUCCUCUUUUUGCCAUUUUUUAUUCUCUUUUUCCUCAAAGCAAACAAUGGGCGGGGAGAAUUUUCGAUCUCCCUAUCCAUCCUCCAUGUUCCAAACAAAGGGAGAUAUGGCGAUAGUGGAAAUAGAUGGGCUAAGUUAUUUGCCAGAGCUAGAAAACAUAUGGUUUCUUGAGAAGUGUAAACACCUCAAUUUGGACUUCUAGAUUAAUGUAUUUUCUGUUUUUGAUUCUCCGAUGAUGAAACAGAUCAAGAAUACCACGGGAAUGUCGUGUGUUUGAGCUUUUAGUACUGUUUGACACACUCUUGUACCUUACCAAGCCUAAGCCACUUCAAAAGCCAAAAACCCUAUUGACGCGCGUUGAUUUGAAGACAGCACGCGCAGAUCAACUUGACGGGUGUUGGUCAAUGGUCAAAGCUUGACCGUUGACCAACGCGUGAGUAGGUGGUACACGCACGCGCUGCUCCCAAACCCGUGCGCGAGGGUUAAGCUGCCAGGUGUGGUCAACAGUCAAAACUUGGCCGUUGACCCACGCGCAUCAGGGCGCAACACGCACGCGCCGGUCAAUGCCUGUCCUCAUCACCUUUAUGGGUUGGUAAGCUUAACUACCAAGUAACCCUCAGCCAGUGUAGAGACCCAUAAUUAUUUUCUUAAAUUUUAAAUGUUUAAUAUGUAUUUGGAUUAUCAAAGUAUGUAUAACAAUGUGGAUAUGAGUUGGGUCAAUGUGAGAUGACUUGGAAGUUGUGGGAGUUGGCGUGAUACAAUAGGAGUGAAAGGGUGUGAGUGUUAUUUGUGCUAUAUAAGUCAAAAAAAAAGGGGAGCAGGAGAUUAUUUUCUCUCUUUUCCUUUCCUUUCUUUUCUUCUUCUCCGGCGUCUCUCUCGGCUCUCACCUCUCUCACCUUCUCUCUUCGAUUUCAUCGAUCACGAGUGAGACUUUUGAAAAAUCCCAAGUACUAAAGUUGUUCUACGCGACGAGAGCUUCCUAUCCAUCGAAGAAAAUUCACGAUCGGAGCACUUCGAAGUUUCCUCCAUGUUCGGGCGUGCUUCUAACCCUCGAGGUACUCGCCAUGGCACUUAGCUUGGAUUGCAUGGAGUGCACAUUGAAACGUCUCUUGAGAGCUUCAUUGGUAUCAUAAAAGAAGUGUUUAUCAUCUAGUCAAAUUCAUGUUGUGUACUUUACUCGCAAUGGAGAGUUGUACCUUUUGAUGAGAAUAUAUGUAAAGCUAUGUGUAAAUUCCUCUCCUUGAUCAUUAUGGAACUCAUUUAAUUAUAAACGUUUAGGAGACUUUAUGUAAAAAAAAAAAAAUUUUUAGAGAGAAGAAGAAGAGACUUUGAUUCUUUA